AGGGCACCACCAGGAGUGGAGCCUGCGGCUUAAUUUGACUCACCACGGGAAAACUCACCCGGCCCGGACACUGGAAGGAUUGACAGAUUGAGAGCUCUUUCUUGAUUCAGUGGGUGGUGGUGCAUGGCCGUUCUUAGUUGGUGGAGCGAUUUGUCUGGUUAAUUCCGAUAACGAACGAGACUCUAGCCUACUAAAUAGAUCGUUGGCUUACAAACGCCAAUGAGACUUCUUAGAGGGACAGGCGGCGAUUCAGCCGCACGAAACAGAGCAAUAACAGGUCUGUGAUGCCCUUAGAUGUCCGGGGCCGCACGCGCGCUACACUGAAGUGAUCAGCGUGCAUUCUCAGCCUACUCUGCCAAGAGUGGAAAACCCAUGGAACUUUCUUCUGGUUGGGAAUAGGAAAUGGUAUUAUUUUCCUUGGAAGAGGAAAUUCCAAGUAAGCCGAGUUAAAAACCCCCCUUGGUUAAGGUCCUGGCCCUUGGUAUCACCCCCCCGUGCUUCCUACGGAUGGAUGGUUUA
RNAcentral lists this ribosomal RNA (519 nucleotides) under uncultured eukaryote. Its description in RNAcentral is "bacterial SSU rRNA". It matches the Rfam family "Eukaryotic small subunit ribosomal RNA", at positions 1161 to 1700 of the family's 1831-position model. The record is from RNAcentral.